AGGGAAGGUCGUCGGCAAGAGGCGUGGUCGGAGAAAUUACCAAAAAAAAGGGUGCAUGUACCGGUGCGUUAAGAAUGACAUGGGAAUUCUAGAGGCUCGUGAGCUCACGCGCUUCAUCGGAUAGCUGCAGGACUUCGGGCGUAGGCCAAUCGGCUGGUGUCCUUACUCAAGUGGGUGGUGACCGUCACCUCCCUUCCUAGAAUGACGUAGAAGCUUAACCCAAAAAAAUAUAUAUAUAUCCAGAACUAUACUGUCCACGCAAAUAAAUUUUGGCACUGCUCUGA
This 284-nucleotide unclassified non-coding RNA is filed under the name Hevea brasiliensis (rubber tree). Lineage: Eukaryota; Viridiplantae; Streptophyta; Magnoliopsida; Malpighiales; Euphorbiaceae. The record is from RNAcentral.